This 875-nucleotide ribosomal RNA is filed under the name uncultured crenarchaeote. RNAcentral describes it as "bacterial SSU rRNA". It matches the Rfam family "Archaeal small subunit ribosomal RNA", at positions 477 to 1351 of the family's 1478-position model. Lineage: Archaea; Thermoproteati; Thermoproteota. The record is from RNAcentral.
CAGCACCUCGAGUGGUCAGGAGGAUUAUUGGGCCUAAAGCAUCCGUAGCCGGCUUUGUAAGUUUUCGGUUAAAUCCAUGCGCUCAACGCAUGGGCUGCCGAAAAUACUGCACAGCUAGGGAGUGGGAGAGGUAGACGGUACUCAGUAGGAAGGGGUAAAAUCCUUUGAUCUGUCGAUGACCACCUGUGGCGAAGGCGGUCUACCAGAACACGUUCGACGGUGAGGGAUGAAAGCUGGGGGAGCAAACCGGAUUAGAUACCCGGGUAGUCCCAGCUGUAAACGAUGCAGACUCGAUGAUGCAUUGGCAUAUAGCCAGUGCAGUGUCGCAGGGAAGCCGUUAAGUCUGCCGCCUGGGAAGUACGUACGCAAGUAUGAAACUUAAAGGAAUUGGCGGGGGAGCACCACAAGGGGUGAAGCCUGCGGUUCAAUUGGAGUCAACGCCAGAAAUCUUACCCGGAGAGACAGCAGAAUGAAGGUCAAGCUGAAGACUUUACCAGACAAGCUGAGAGGUGGUGCAUGGCCGUCGCCAGCUCGUGCCGUGAGAUGUCCUGUUAAGUCAGGUAACGAGCGAGAUCCUCGCCACUAGUUGCUAUCAUUAUUCUCAGGAAUAGUGGGGCGAAUUAGUGGGACUGCCGUUGUUAAAACGGAGGAAGGAGGGGGCUACGGCAGGUCAGUAUGCCCCGAAACUCUGGGGCCACACGCGGGCUGCAAUGGUAGCGACAAUGAGCUCCAAACUCGAAAGAGAGUGGCAAUCUCUAAACGCUACCACAGUUAUGACUGAGGGCUGUAACUCGCCCUCACGAAUAUGGAAUCCCUAGUAACCGCGUGUCAUUACCGCGCGGUGAAUACGUCCCUGCUCCUUGCCCACACCGCCC